AUCAUGGCUCAGGAUGAACGCUAGCUACAGGCUUAACACAUGCAAGUCGAGGGGCAGCAUUGGAGUAGCAAUACUCAGAUGGCGACCGGCGCACGGGUGAGUAACACGUAUCCAACCUGCCGCUUACUCGGGGAUAGCCUUUCGAAAGAAAGAUUAAUACCCGAUGGUAUAAAGAGUUCGCAUGUUCUCUUUAUUAAAGAAUUUCGGCAAGCGAUGGGGAUGCGUUCCAUUAGAUAGUUGGCGGGGUAACGGCCCACCAAGUCUACGAUGGAUAGGGGUUCUGAGAGGAAGGUCCCCCCACAUUGGUACUGAGACACGGACCAGACUCCUACGGGAGGCAGCAGUGAGGAAUAUUGGUCAAUGGACGAGAGUCUGAACCAGCCAAGUCGCGUGCAGGAAGAAUUGUCCUAUGGAUUGUAAACUGCUUUUGCAGGGGAAUAAAGUGCAUCACGUGUGAUGUUUUGUAUGUACUCUGCGAAUAAGGAUCGGCUAACUCCGUGCCAGCCGCCGC
This 511-nucleotide ribosomal RNA is filed under the name uncultured bacterium. RNAcentral describes it as "bacterial SSU rRNA". It matches the Rfam family "Bacterial small subunit ribosomal RNA", at positions 16 to 518 of the family's 1533-position model. The record is from RNAcentral.